UCCCUGGUGGUUCAGAGGUUAAGACUCAACACUUCCACCGUGGUGACCUGGGUUCAAUCCCCAGUCAGGGAA
Molecule: transfer RNA, 72 nt
Filed under: Ovis aries (sheep)
Lineage: Eukaryota; Metazoa; Chordata; Mammalia; Artiodactyla; Bovidae
Rfam family: tRNA
About the family: Transfer RNA (tRNA) molecules are approximately 80 nucleotides in length.
Source: Rfam by way of RNAcentral